Molecule: ribosomal RNA, 844 nt
Filed under: marine metagenome
Description: bacterial SSU rRNA
Rfam family: Bacterial small subunit ribosomal RNA
Source: RNAcentral
AGAGUUUGAUCAUGGCUCAGAACGUACGCUGGCGGCACGCCUAAUACAUGCAAGUCGAACGAAGUAGCAAUACUUAGUGGCAGACGGGUGAGUAACAUGUGGGUAUCUUCCCUUUGGUGAGGAAUAACACGAGGAAACUUGUGCUAAUACCUCAUAAGUCUUUACGGAGAAAGCUUUAUGCGCCAUUGGAUGAGCCCGCACUUGAUUAGUUUGUUGGUGGGGUAAUGGCCUACCAAGACAAUGAUCAAUAGCUGAUUUGAGAGGAUGAUCAGCCACAUUGGGACUGAGACACGGCCCAAACUUCUACGGAAGGCAGCAGUAGGGAAUCUUGCACAAUGGAGGAAACUCUGAUGCAGCGAUGCCGCGUGAGUGAAGAAGGCCCUUGGGUUGUAAAGCUCUUUCGUCGGGGAAGAAAAUGACUGUACCCGAAUAAGAAGGUCCGGCUAACUUCGUGCCAGCAGCCGCGGUAAUACGAAGGGACCUAGCGUAGUUCGGAAUUACUGGGCUUAAAGAGUUCGUAGGUGGUUAAAAAAGUUGGUGGUGAAAUCCCAGAGCUUAACUCUGGAACUGCCAUCAAAACUUUUUAGCUAGAGUAUGAUAGAGGAAAGCAGAAUUUCUAGUGUAGAGGUGAAAUUCGUAGAUAUUAGAAAGAAUACCAAUUGCGAAGGCAGCUUUCUGGAUCAUUACUGACACUGAGGAACGAAAGCAUGGGUAGCGAAGAGGAUUAGAUACCCUCGUAGUCCAUGCCGUAAACGAUGUGUGUUAGACGUUGGGAAUUUAUUUUCAGUGUCGCAGCGAAAGCAAUAAACACACCGCCUGGGGAGUACGACCGCAAGGUUAAAAC